Microcebus murinus (gray mouse lemur) is the source of this 802-nucleotide non-coding RNA. The record is from RefSeq and is a predicted model, not a curated record. Lineage: Eukaryota; Metazoa; Chordata; Mammalia; Primates; Cheirogaleidae.
ACACCCAUGUACUUUUCCUCCGGCAACCUGUCCUUCGUGAAGUCGUGCUUCUCCUCCACCGCCACCACCCAAAGAUUGCUGGCACAUCAGUGCUUUGGGAUCCAGACCAUCCCCCAUUCGUUUUUUUUUUUUUUCCCCUUUUUCUCGGCUGCCUCACACAGUUUUUUUCUCACCCGUUUGCCACAUGGACAAUUUCCUCCUGGCUGUGAUGGCCUAUGACCGCUUUGUGGCCGUGUGCCACCCCUUACAUUACAUGACAAAGAUGACCCAUCAGCUCUGUGUCCUGCUGGUCGCUGGGUCGUGGGUCGUGGCCAACCUGAGUGCUUUGUUGCACACCCUGCUGAUGGCUGGACUCUCAUUCUGUGCAGACAACACCAUCCCCCACUUCUUCUGUGAUGUGACUCCUCUUCUAAAACUCUCCUGCUCAGACACUCACCUCAAUGAGAUGAUGAUUCUCACUGAGGGCGGCCUGGUCACUGUCACCCCACUUGUUUGCAUCUUGGCUUCCUAUGUGCACAUCACCUGUGCUGUCCUGAGAGCUCCAACCACAAAGGGAAGAUGGAAAGCCUUCUCCACCUGUGGCUCCCACCUGGCUGUUGUGUUCCUCUUCUAUGGCACCAUCAUUGCUAUUUAUUUAAACCCCUCGUCCUCUCACUCAGCUGAGAAAGACACCGCAGCUACCGUGUUGUAUACAGUGGUGACCCCCAUGCUAAACCCUUUCAUCUACAGCCUAAGGAACAGGGAUUUGAAAAGGGCUCUGGGAAAGGUGUUUGGCAGAAAGGCAUGCUUAUACAGGUGUUAA